This is a long non-coding RNA of Ananas comosus (pineapple), 4470 nucleotides long. RefSeq lists it as uncharacterized. The record is from RefSeq and is a predicted model, not a curated record. The transcript is spliced from 2 exons. Lineage: Eukaryota; Viridiplantae; Streptophyta; Magnoliopsida; Poales; Bromeliaceae.
CCAUUCCUCUUUUCAUCGUCUUCUUCUUCUUCUUCUUCUUCUUCGUCUCCAUUUUUAGGGUUUUGGGAGCACGGUGGCGAUAAUGGCGGUGGAGCGACGUUAGAUCGAAGCUCUCCAUCACCACCUCCGAUGUCCAUUUCUUCCGGCCGUAGCUUCCUCCUCUCCUCCUCCUCCUCGUCGUCUACGCUUCGUCAUGUAAAAAUCGGGUUUCUAAGCCCCAUUUUUAAUCUCCACCUUUUUUUUUUUGUGCUUAUUAACUAUCCGUUAGGUUUUGAUCGCGCCCUUUGUUACGAUCUCGAUGAUAUUCGAUCAUAGAAUUUUUAGUAGAUUUUCCUCUCUCUUUUUUUCCUCUCGUAAUUAUGCCUCUAGGGCUUUCAAUCAUUAAGGUUUUGUUUAGUUAUUUGGUUUGUUGAAUUUGUGUUCUGAUGUCAGUGAGUUUCUUGGUUUUUAGGGCUUGUUAGGGUUCCCUGUUGUUCAUUUUGGUGUUUGUGUGUGCGUGUGCGUGUGCGUGCGUGUGUAUUCUCUUGUUCAUUGUGGGGUGUGUGUGUGUGUUUGUGUGUUGUGUUCUCUUGUUCAUUGUGGUGAUUGCGUGAUUGCGUGCGUGCGUGUGUUGUUGUUGUUGUGUGUGCGUGUGUUUGUUGUACGCACGUGCGCGCGUGUAGUGUGUAGAAUGUGUGUAGUGUGUAGUGUGUGCGCGCACGCGUGCGCAUCUCUGUGUGUGUGUAUAGUGUGUGUGUGUGUGUGUGUGUGUGUGUGUGUGUGUGUGUGUGUGUGUGUGUGUGUUUGUAGAUUGCGCGCGCGCCUGCGUGCGUGCGUGUGUUUUCCUGUUCAUUUUGGGGUGUGUGUGGUGUGUUCUCUUGUCCAUUGUGGUGAUUGUUUGUGCAUGCAUACGUGUGUGUGUGUUCUCAUGUUUUAAUUUGAGUGAGCUUAUGAAUUUAUAUUAGGUUAUGUCCUUUCAUAUUUGCUAUUUAUGAAUGAUCAUCUCUUCUUUGAUGAAUGUAAAAUCUGAGCUGCAUAUGAAGUUGGAAUAAGGAUCUAGAAAUUUUCGUCGUAAGAGUAAGUUAUAGAAAGGCUAGGCUUAGAAGGACUUGGAAAAGGAAUUUGGGAGUCAUCAAACGGUCCAGAAUUUUGCUGUAAUAAGGGGUCACUAUAUUCCAUUGUAUUGACUCGACCACAUUCCAAUAUUUUGAUGAUCGCGAUUGUGUAGUCCAUGUCAGAGUUGUGCAGAAGCAUCAUUUAAAAAGAAAAUGAAUGCUUUCUUACAGUCCUAAUAUGAUUUUGCAAUUAGAAUUAAUGGAAUAGUGAGAUGCGAUCCGGUCACCACACUGGGGAUAUGGUGACCUCCUAUUGCAGCAGGGUUCUGUGUUGUUAGAUAGGAGGAACCAGAGAGUUUGGACUUUGGAUACUUCUUUUAUACGGAGCAUUGCCAAAAAAUGAUGAAUAUAGUCAAGUUGCCUCAAUAGGGAUGCACUGCCCUCCCAAUUAUAGUAGGGUUUUUGCUUCUUCUUCUUUUUCGUAUUCACAUUAGGCACAUGGCUUUCAAUCCGUUGGUGCUUUCCAUCAUGUCUCAAAUAUGGCACUGAUAGGGUUAGUGCACUAAAUAAGAAAAUUCGCCAGGAGGAUUUUUGAUAUAGAAUCAAAUAUAGAUUGAUGAAAAACGUAUAAUAAACACUAUAUAGAAAAGAUUGAUGCCUUUGAAACUAGAAGGUAACCUACAUGCCUUGCAGUAUUAUGGGCGAAUAUUAGCCACAGAGAAUCCAUAUUCUCGUAGAAUUAGUGAAGCAAACAGAUCGAUCUAAGGUGGAUGAAUUGUCAUAUGAGGAAGGGGAACAUAGAAAUUAUGAAUUUGCUUCAAGGUGUAAUUGGCUUCAAUUGAAAAGAAAUAAGGAAGAGUCAUUUCAUCACAUACGAUUAGAGACAUCAGUCCUCCACUUUCGGGGGUGAUCACACAUAUUUGAUUUUGAAGAUGCAUUUGGCUAGCCCAUUUUUAUAGGGUGAAGAUUGAGUUGAGCUGAGUUAGAAUAUUAUCUAUAAGAUGAGGCUAGGUAAAUAAUUAUUUUGAUGUUUGAGAAAGUUGUUUGGUGGUUGAGAAAAAGAAUAUGAAAAUAUAACAUCUCUUAUGCAAGAAAAGGUAUUGUAUUUAAAAUACUUGCUAUGGAUGAUAUGGUAGAGUAGGUAUCGGAAAUAAUUUCUUACAAUUUGCACAACUUGUGCAAAGCCAAAUUGUAUCCUAAAUUAGGCAUGCCACGUCAUCCAUUGACCAUAGUAGUUGAAAAACAAUGCAUCUAAAUACGAUAUUUUUUGUGUAUUUAUAUUCUUUUCUCAACCACCAAACAGCUUUCUCAACCAUCAAAAGUAUUAUUCUUUUAGCCAUUGCAUUCAUUUCUCUAGGCUAAAUUGAAAACGUGUGAGGAAAUAUUAUCUAUUGGAGAAAUUCAGCUUCGCACCUAAGUUUCGCUAAGUAUAUACUUAGGGAAGUGAUAUUAACAUAUCUUUUUUUGAUAGGGACAGAUCAGAUUCAUUGAAUCUAAUCAAAUCUAGUCAGUAAAUAAUAACCAGAUUCAAUGAAUCUAUCUGUCAAUAUCAAAAUUAGGUCGGUUAGUAGCACCACUCAUAUUCAUAAGUAGGCUUUGUAUAGGUGUACAAUUUAUCCAAAUAGAGUUGUGGGUGGAGGCAUCGUAUCAAAAUUGGAUUUGCAUAUUUCUAUCUUCAAAAUAUGGUAAAAGUACAACAUAGUUGUCUAACAUUUAAAUUUUAUGGUUUUUACUUCGUUAUGUCUUUGACCUAGUGUAAAGCCAUGGCUUCUUUGUUAUUGAUAGGGAAGCCUACUUAGUUGGAAUUUAUAGUAGGGAGAUUGGAAAUUAGACAAAGCCAUAUCUUAUAUUCUCAUAAUAAUACUAUUAUGCCAUUGCUUCUUGGGCUUCUGCGAGUUCUAACAAAAAUUGUCAACUGAGUAGGGAGAUCGGAAAUUGGACGUAAGCCUUUAUUUUUGGAAGAAGGUAAAUUGUGUUUGCGAAUAACUAAAUGAUAAUGGCACUGGUAUUAAUAGAGCAACUUUUACUAUAGACAGAUCAGAUAUAUUGAAUUUAAAUUGAUUCAGUUAGUGAAUUAUGACUGUAUUCAAUGUAUCUAUCUGUCAAUAGUAAAAUCUGCUCUGUUAAUAUCGUCACCGAAAGGAUAAUGCAGCUUUUUGUCAAUGUGCUUUUUUUAUUCUUCCAUACUAGAAAACUCUCAAUGCUGGAUUUUUCUGUUUUUUUUCUCCCUAAAUAGACAGUAGGAAAUGGCUGAUGGCAUUUUUGGUACUGCUCGUCCUUUUCCUGAUAAUUGACACAAAAUUUAAACAUCUGCUGACUUAUAUUCGAUAAAUUAUGCAUAUGUAUUUGGGGGUUUCAGAAUCUUAGGGGUUGAUUGACGAAGAAGAACAGUAUCUGAACCAGGAAAUAGUUGGAAAUUUUUGUUUUUUUUUUUCCAAUACACCACCUCAUUGUGUGCAACCACUUUACUAUUACUUUUUUUUGUGAGAAAAGCUCAUAGGCUGCAAUUUUUUUUAACUUGAAUUCGGCUGUACGCCAGAGCCAUUUUGUCUGGCUAUUGGAAUAGCCCCUUAAUUUCAAUAAUCAGAAGCUUGUCACAAGUUAUAUGUAUGCGGCUAGCGAAAAGUUUGGAGCCUUUGCAGAGCUGAGAAGCCAAAAAAAGAGCUUUUGGGCCUCGGAAGCAAGUAUGCUUUUGCUUUCAAGGUGUUAUUUCCGUUAGAAGUGAUCUUUAUGAAAAAGCUGUUAGUGCUACCUCGAAUGGGUCUAUAUCACGGACCGUCUCCUCUGAAACUCAUUGGGGCUGAACAGGCCGUUUAAUGGCCUGCAUUUCUUUGCUUUGUGAUUCUCUUCUCUGCAGGUCAAUGAUCAAUUCUCCGCCGACGAUGCAUCGCCGUACUAGUGAGAAUGAGAAGAAAGCGAUGGCCCUUCAUCUCCUUACCGAUUUAGCGAACAUCAGUAAUUGUAGCGAAGGGUGUACUAUUUCUCUGUAUAUAGUUAUUAUGAUUUUGAUUGUUUUAACCUGCAGGUGGAACUUGUUCUCUGUAUUUUUGAUGUUAUAUACCAGAGUGGUAAGCUGAUAAGCUGUGUUACAAUUGCUGGUGGUGGGUGAUGGUGUAUGAUUGUUGGUAGAUUAUUUGAAAGUUCAGUUUCAACUGGUUCGGAGGCAAGCCAAAGUGGCGGCCUAGCAUUGAAUCAGAUUAAUCAAUUACUUCAGCUGUUGGGGUGCAAGCCAAAGCAGUCCUGAUCAGAAGUAGUGAAUUGAUCGCUUUAUAAAAAUGCGCACACACGAUUUUUGUUUUGUUUUGCAUAUAUUAGAGAGAGAGAGAGAGUGUGUACGCGCGCGCGCGUUGAGGUAUAUGAUCGCAGUUUGAAAAUCUAUGGCGCAUAAAAGCGUACAAUUAUUUAACUUCUAUUCUAAGGGCAUGUUUGGUUCCUA